RNAcentral lists this ribosomal RNA (380 nucleotides) under uncultured Alphaproteobacteria bacterium. RNAcentral describes it as "bacterial SSU rRNA". It matches the Rfam family "Bacterial small subunit ribosomal RNA", at positions 9 to 419 of the family's 1533-position model. The record is from RNAcentral. Lineage: Bacteria; Pseudomonadati; Pseudomonadota; Alphaproteobacteria.
GAGUUUGAUCGUGGCUCAGAACGAACGCUGGCGGCAGGCCUAACACAUGCAAGUCGAACGCCCAGCAAUGGGAGUGGCGCACGGGUGCGUAACGCGUGGGAAUAUGCCCUUGACUACGGGACAACGUUUGGAAACGAACGCUAAUACCGUAUAAUGACUCCGGUCCAAAGAUUUAUCGGUCAAGGAUUAGCCCGCGUCAGAUUAGCUAGUUGGUGAGGUAACGGCUCACCAAGGCGACGAUCUGUAGCUGGUCUGAGAGGAUGAUCAGCCACACUGGAACUGAGACACGGUCCAGACUCCUACGGGAGGCAGCAGUGAGGAAUAUUGGACAAUGGGCGCAAGCCUGAUCCAGCCAUGCCGCGUGAGUGACGAAGGCCUUC